UUUGCAAUGAUGACAAAAACGAUUGGAUGAUGUACUUUGAUUAACUCAUAAAUCGCAAUGCUCUGAGCGAC
Small nucleolar RNA from Oryza sativa Japonica Group (Japanese rice), 71 nucleotides. It matches the Rfam family "Small nucleolar RNA Z169". Rfam says of the family: Z169 is a member of the C/D class of snoRNA which contain the C (UGAUGA) and D (CUGA) box motifs. Most of the members of the box C/D family function in directing site-specific 2'-O-methylation of substrate RNAs. NCBI's taxonomy places the organism in Eukaryota, Viridiplantae, Streptophyta, Magnoliopsida, Poales, Poaceae. The record is from Rfam.